RNAcentral lists this long non-coding RNA (700 nucleotides) under Medicago truncatula (barrel medic). Its description in RNAcentral is "long non-coding RNA (MTRU_LNC003166)". Lineage: Eukaryota; Viridiplantae; Streptophyta; Magnoliopsida; Fabales; Fabaceae. The record is from RNAcentral.
CGUGGUUUAAAACUUGCAAAGGUUACAAGAUCACAAGGUGCCAAAACAACAUCACUAACCAAAAAGUAAAAAAUCUAAAAUCGUACUAUCGGUAUAACCACACCUAAAUAUAACAGGUUGAGUGCUUCACAAAUAAAAAUCAUAUGAGAAUCCUUUAGCUUUGAACUUAUCUUUAUAACAGGUUGCUGAAAGAAUAUCAAUUAGCAACCUCCAAGCAAACAUCGAAAUCUUUAUGCUCCAGGGAAGCACACCUGGUCAAUGGGAAAGCCAAUGACCAUGUCCCACUGGUGGUUUGGACCAUGAUUGCUAAUUAUGAUGUCCAAAAGGUUAUCAUCAACAAAGAAGUUUCAUGCGACAUAAUGUACAUCAGUCUUCUCAACAUUAUUGGUCUCAGAGACAUACAUUUCCUGAUACGAAGGUCGAGAUCUCCAAGGUUUUGAUGGACCGUCUUCAUGCCCCUGAGGUUUGUUGAAAUUACCCGUUACCUUUGGGACAAGUGACACAAAGGACAAUCAUUAGUAAGUUCUUAGCGAUCGAAAACCCUUCAGUAUAUAAUUGCAUCUUUGGCGCCCCACUCUGACAGAUUAGGUGUGAUGUCCUCGAGAGUCCACCUCAAGAUGCGGUAUCAUAAUAGUAAGGGUGUCAUGGGGACUGUAUUAGCAUAUCUGGAAGUGAAUCCAAGGCUAACUUAUGAUGUUUG